AUGAACUUGAAUGAAAAGUAACCUUCUCUGUGCACUACUUGCCCUGUAUAGACUGAAGACAAUCUACAGAUUGCAAAGGAUACAAGGUCAUAUGAUGUCCAGUCAUGCUGGAGCUGAGGUUCUCUCUGAGAGAGUGGGUAAUGCAGGAGUCGUCACACUGAACCGGCCCAAGGCUUUGAAUGCACUCAAUCUCACCAUGAUCAGACACAUAUACCCACAACUGAAGAAAUGGGAGAAGGAUUCCAAAAUCCAUAUUG
Clupea harengus (Atlantic herring) is the source of this 257-nucleotide long non-coding RNA. RefSeq lists it as uncharacterized. The transcript has 3 exons. The record is from RefSeq and is a predicted model, not a curated record. Lineage: Eukaryota; Metazoa; Chordata; Actinopteri; Clupeiformes; Clupeidae.